Molecule: ribosomal RNA, 2434 nt
Filed under: human oral metagenome
Description: bacterial LSU rRNA
Rfam family: Bacterial large subunit ribosomal RNA
Source: RNAcentral
GGCUUGUCCGGUGACGGCGUGCUUUUUGUAGAACGAUCCAGCGAGUUAAUUUCAUGCGCCAGGUUAAGUCAAGUGACGGAGCCACAGUGAAAGCGAGCCUGAAUAGGGCGAUAAGUGUAUGGGAUUAGACCCGAAACCGGGUGACCUAACCAUGAGCAGGUUGAAGCUGCGGUAACACGCAGUGAAGGACCGAACCAGUUUGCGCAGUAAAGCAUUUGGAUGACUUGUGGUUAGCGGUGAAAUGCCAAUCGAACUCGGAGAUAGCUGGUUCUCCUCGAAAUAGCUUUAGGGCUAGCGUCAUGUAAUAUAGCCAACGGGGGUAGAGCUCUGUAAACGACUGGGGCGGGCAACUGUACCCACCGUUAACAAACUACGAAUACCGUUGGUGGUACCAUGGCAGUUAGAACAUCGGGGCUAAGCUCGGUGCUCAAAAGGGAAACAGCCCAGACCAUCAUCUAAGGUCCCUAAAUUAACACUAAGUGGGAAACAAGGUGAAAUUUCUUAAACAGCGAGGAUGUUGGCUUAGAAGCAGCCAUUCAUUUAAAGAGUGCGUAACAGCUCACUCGUCAAGAGAUUUUGCGUGGAAAAUGUAACGGGGCUAAAGUGUUAUACCGAAGAUAUGGAUUUCGUUAUUCCUACGGGUUUAACGGAGUGGUAGAGGAGCGUUCCUAUCGGCAGUGAAGCUCAAUCGUAAGGUUGGGUGGAGCGUUAGGAAGUGAGAAUGCUGGAAUGAGUAACCAUAAGAAAGGUGAGAAUCCUUUCGGCCGUAAGAGCGAGGUUUCCAGGGCUACUGUAAUAAUCCCUGGGUUAGUCGGGCCUAAGCCGAGGCGUAGCAGCGUAGGCGAUGGACAUCAGGUUAAUAUUCCUGAACCGGUUAUAAUUUGUAUACUGUGUACGGUAAAUUAGUCGAAGCGGAUUAUUGGUAUAUAUCCGUCCAACUUAGCGGGAACGCAAAAGGAGUGAAAGUUAAUCUACGGAUUAACGAUUUUGAUGAAAGUACUGGCUAGAAAAGCAGAUAUACGCGUGGUUAUAGCCGCCCGUACCGCAAACCAACACAGGUGCUCGAGUCGAGUAGACUCAGGCUUACGAGAGACCCUUCGCUAAGGAACUCGGCAAAACAGCGACCGUAACUUCGGGAUAAGGUCUGCCUCCGCAUCAUUCGAUGCGAGUCGUGUUUCAAGCAAUUAGGUUAAGAUUAAUGGUAUAUAUGAGUAUCUUAAACUUCUUUACCGAGAUAGACAAGUCAAAUGGCUUAGCUUGGAACGCGGUAACCUCGUGUCAAACGAUGCGGAGGCCGCAGCAAAAGAGCCCACGGAACUGUUUACCAAAAACACAGGUCUCUGCUAACACGAAAGUGGAUGUAUAGGGGCUGACUCCUGCCCAAUGCUGGAAGGUUAAGGGGAGCGCUUCACGGUGCGAACUGAAGCCCUAGUCAAUGGCGGCGGUAACUAUAACCGUCCUAAGGUAGCGAAAUUCCUUGUCAGGUAAGUUCUGACCCGCACGAAUGGAGUAAUCAUGUGGGCACUGUCUCGGCGAAGGACUCGGUGAAAGUGCAUUGGCGGUAAAGAUGCCGUCUGUCCAUGCCAGGACGAGAAGACCCCAUGGAGCUUUACUACAGCUUUACAUUGACACGGGUUACAUCAUGUGUAGCAUAGGUGGGAGGCUUUGAAGCAGAUACGCCAGUAUUUGUGGAGCCACAGGUGAAAUACCACCCUUGAUGUAGUCUUUGUCUUACCAUUGCCGUUAUCCGGUAAUGGGACCGUGUAUGGUGGGUAGUUUAACUGGGGCGGUUGCCUCCUAAAGAGUAGCGGAGGCGUUCAAAGGUUGGCUAGCUUCGGAUGGAAAUCGAAGUGAUAGUGCAUGCGCAAAAGCCAGCUUGACUGCGAGAAUUACAAUUCGACCAGAGUGGAAACACGGAGCAAGUGACCCGCUGUAAGAACAUUGUUCAUUGAAUGUGGGAUCGACAGCGCACACGGAUAAAAGUUACCCUGGGGAUAACAGGCUUAUCGCGCCCAAUAGUUCACAUAGACGGCGCGGUUUGGCACCUCGAUGUCGGCUCAUCACAUCCUGGAGGGGGAGCACCUUCCAAGGGUUCGGCUGUUCGCCGAUUAAAGUGGUACGCGAGCUGGGUUCAGAACGUCGUGAGACAGUUCGGUUUAUAUCCGGCAUGGACGUAAGGAUUCUUGAGGAGAUUUGUCUCUAGUACGAGAGGACCGAGAUGAACGAACCUCUGGUGUAUCGAUUGUGGCCACCUGCUGCAGUGUCGAGUAGCUAUGUUCGGUUAAGAUAAGCGCUGAAAGCAUAUUAAGCGCGAAACUGACUCCAAGAUUAGGAAUCCCAUGAGGACACAGAAAGAUGAUCUGUUUGAUAGGCGCAAGGUGUAAACCUGGUAACAGGCUAGCCAAAGCGUACUAAUAGUCCAAUCGCCUUUUUA